RNAcentral lists this long non-coding RNA (415 nucleotides) under Ananas comosus (pineapple). RNAcentral's name for it is "long non-coding RNA (ACOM_LNC021801)". The record is from RNAcentral. Lineage: Eukaryota; Viridiplantae; Streptophyta; Magnoliopsida; Poales; Bromeliaceae.
UUAAGGUUAAUUACGAUAUUUUGACAAGUUAGAGUUACGACGGAAAUCGAAAUUACAGUUACAAUGAACCAAACAACGAAAACAUUUAUUUACAGUUAAAAUCACUUCACUUUUUUUCACUUUCGGUGAAAUGAACAAACCCAUAAUGUAUUACCACUUACAUAAAUAAAAAUAAUUAUUUUCAUCACACUUUUCUAGCCGUGCAUAAUAUAUUCUUUCUAUAAUUCUAAACAGAGGUAGCUGAAACUACGUAUUAGUCUAUAAUUGAUGAUUAAUAAUUAAUAAUUUAAACUAAAUACCACUACCAUCGAAUUUAAAAUAUUAUCACAAAACUAAUCAUAAAUAUAUAACAUAUCUAACAAUUUAAUAUUUACCAACCCCCCAAAAAAUGUAAGUUAAAAACUCGAUAAACAAA